This 815-nucleotide ribosomal RNA is filed under the name uncultured bacterium. RNAcentral describes it as "bacterial SSU rRNA". It matches the Rfam family "Bacterial small subunit ribosomal RNA", at positions 59 to 868 of the family's 1533-position model. The record is from RNAcentral.
CAGUCGAACGGAGAUAUACGCUGAUGAAGUACUUCGGUAAUGAUUCUUGAACAUCUUAGUGGCGGACGGGUGAGUAACGCGUGAGCAACCUGCCUUUCAGAGGGGGAUAACGUUCGGAAACGAACGCUAAUACCGCAUGACAUUGUUGAGUCGCAUGACUUGAUAAUCAAAGGAGCAAUCCGCUGAAAGAUGGGCUCGCGUCCGAUUAGGUAGUUGGUGGGGCAACGGCCCACCAAGCCGACGAUCGGUAGCCGGACUGAGAGGUUGAACGGCCACAUUGGGACUGAGACACGGCCCAGACUCCUACGGGAGGCAGCAGUGAGGGAUAUUGGUCAAUGGGGGAAACCCUGAACCAGCAACGCCGCGUGAGGGAAGACGGUUUUCGGAUUGUAAACCUCUGUCCUCUGUGAAGAUAAUGACGGUAGCAGAGGAGGAAGCUCCGGCUAACUACGUGCCAGCAGCCGCGGUAAUACGUAGGGAGCAAGCGUUGUCCGGAUUUACUGGGUGUAAAGGGUGCGUAGGCGGCUUUGCAAGUCAGAAGUGAAAUCCAUGGGCUUAACCCAUGAACUGCUUUUGAAACUGCAGAGCUUGAGUGGAGUAGAGGUAGGCGGAAUUCCCGGUGUAGCGGUGAAAUGCGUAGAGAUCGGGAGGAACACCAGUGGCGAAGGCGGCCUACUGGGCUCUAACUGACGCUGAGGCACGAAAGCGUGGGUAGCAAACAGGAUUAGAUACCCUGGUAGUCCACGCUGUAAACGAUGAUUACUAGGUGUGGGUGGACUGACCCCAUCCGUGCCGGAGUUAACACAAUAAGUAAU